RNAcentral lists this microRNA precursor (59 nucleotides) under Branchiostoma lanceolatum (amphioxus). RNAcentral describes it as "Bla-Mir-92-o5_pre stem-loop". The record is from RNAcentral. Lineage: Eukaryota; Metazoa; Chordata; Leptocardii; Amphioxiformes; Branchiostomatidae.
AGGCUGGGAUAAGUUGCAGUGCUCUAUCUGUAGCCAGUAUUGCACUUGUUCCGUCCUGU